CAGCCGCCGCGGGAAUACGUAGGUGGCAAGCGCUGUCCGGAAUUAUUGGGCGUAAAGCGCGCGCAGGCGGAUCAGUCAGUCUGUCUUAAAAGUUCGGGGCUUAACCCCGUGAUGGGAUGGAAACUGCUGAUCUAGAGUAUCGGAGAGGAAAGUGGAAUUCCUAGUGUAGCGGUGAAAUGCGUAGAUAUUAGAAAGAACAUCAGUGGCGAAGGCGACUUUCUGGACGAAAACUGACGCUGAGGCGCGAAAGCCAGGGGAGCGAACGGGAUUAGAUACCCGUGUAGUCCCUGUCUCUUAUACC
This 301-nucleotide ribosomal RNA is filed under the name uncultured bacterium. RNAcentral's name for it is "partial 16S ribosomal RNA". It matches the Rfam family "Bacterial small subunit ribosomal RNA", at positions 509 to 808 of the family's 1533-position model. The record is from RNAcentral.